This 496-nucleotide ribosomal RNA is filed under the name uncultured bacterium. RNAcentral describes it as "partial 16S ribosomal RNA". It matches the Rfam family "Bacterial small subunit ribosomal RNA", at positions 28 to 506 of the family's 1533-position model. The record is from RNAcentral.
GAUGAACGCUGGCGGCGUGCCUAAUACAUGCAAGUCGAGCGAACGGACGAGAAGCUUGCUUCUCUGAUGUUAGCGGUGGACGGGUGAGUAACACGUGGAUAACCUACCUAUAAGGCUGGGAUAACUUCGGGAAACCGGAGCUAAUACCGGAUGAUAUUUUGAACCGCAUGGUUCAAAAGUGAAAGACGGUCUUGCUGUCACUUAUAGAUGGAUCCGCGCUGCAUUAGCUAGUUGGUAAGGUAACGGCUUACCAAGGCAACGAUGCAUAGCCGACCUGAGAGGGUGAUCGGCCACACUGGAACUGAGACACGGUCCAGACUCCUACGGGAGGCAGCAGUAGGGAAUCUUCCGCAAUGGGCGAAAGCCUGACGGAGCAACGCCGCGUGAGUGAUGAAGGUCUUCGGAUCGUAAAACUCUGUUAUUAGGGAAGAACAUAUGUGUAAGUAACUGUGCACAUCUUGACGGUACCUAAUCAGAAAGCCACGGCUAACUACGU